UUACAUUGAAGAGUUUGAUUAUGGCUCAGAUUGAACGUGGGCGGCAGGCUUUACCCAUGCAAGUCGAACGGAAACAGAAAGCAGCU
RNAcentral lists this ribosomal RNA (86 nucleotides) under Salmonella enterica subsp. enterica serovar Heidelberg. RNAcentral describes it as "partial 16S ribosomal RNA". The record is from RNAcentral. Lineage: Bacteria; Pseudomonadati; Pseudomonadota; Gammaproteobacteria; Enterobacterales; Enterobacteriaceae.